RNAcentral lists this long non-coding RNA (2666 nucleotides) under Mus musculus (house mouse). RNAcentral's name for it is "long non-coding RNA chr4:8597046-8599712". The record is from RNAcentral. Lineage: Eukaryota; Metazoa; Chordata; Mammalia; Rodentia; Muridae.
GAAAGCUUACUAUCAUAACUGCCACUUAGCUUCCCUACCUCUGGUUUGGCUAUCAGUCUUGGAAACUUUAAAGGUGGUCCAUUUUUUUUUAAAAGAAUUAUUUGCCAGGCAUGGUGGCACACGCCUUUAAUCCCAGCACUUGGGAGGCAGAGGCAGGUGGAUUUCUGAGUUCGAGGCCAGCCUGGUCUACAAAGUGAGUUCCAGGACAGCCAGGGCUACACAGAGAAACCCUGUCUCAAAAAACCAAAAAAAAAAAAAAAAAAAAAAAAAAAAGAAGAAGAAGAAGAAGAAAAAAGAAAGAAUUAUUUUAUGUAUAUGCGUACACUGUAGCUAUCUUCAAACACACCAGAAGAGGGCAUCAGAACACAUUACACCAUGGGUGAGCCACCAUGUGGUUGCUGGGAACUCAGGACCUCUGGAAGAGCAGUCAGUGCUCUUAACCACUGAGCUGUCUCUCCAGCCUAGAUGGUCCUCUUGAAAGUUGCAUCCACUUUGCUAACCAAGGAACAUUCAUGUGUAUCAUCACAUCCAUCUGCAGAGGACAUUUAUUUAUAAGCAUGCAUAUAUAUAAGACAUCAACUACCCAGACUUUUGUACAGCUUUAGAACUUCACCUGCUAUCUGUCAUGUCAUGCACAGCCUGACUUUCUUUCAUGUAAAUUAAAUGUACAUGAUUUCAUCCUGCCCUUCCAUUGAUAGAGAGAACAGAGGCAGCAGGUCCUCUCCCAGUGAAACAGGAAGCUGAAGAAGUUAAGGCAGAUUGACUAGCCUCCAUUACUCUUUAUUUACCUCAUCCCAAAGAGUAGCCCCACCAGCAACACUGCCUUGAGAUAGGGAUUGAAAGCCACUGUGAUCUAAGGCCUCUGGCACUCAAGUACAUAGGAUCCAGAUAAAGUUAGAGAAUUUGAAUGAGGUCUUUAUUUAAGCUCCCUCAUACUACAAUUUGCUUAGUGUUUUCAUAGGUCUUCCCAUCAGUUUAUACUUGCUUUGUCUCAGUAUAUAUUACUCUUCAGUGCCCACUCUGUGCAUGACUUGUAGUUAAGUCUCUUUUUAAUGGUUUUAAUCAAGAUAUUUUAAUUUUCUGAUGAGUAUUGACCACGUUCAUUACUCUGCAGUAUCUUCAGGGCUUGCUGACUUAGGCACCUGUGCGCUUUCUCCUGUAGAGCACUGCAUCUCAGGCCACACCCUAGUAAGAGAUGCUGCUGGGGUUUGACCCAGAAGAACCUCGUUCCCCUGGAACUGGUGUGCAUCUUUCAGAGGCAUAACAUCAUCCCAUACCUAUAAGCUUUCUUGAAAGGAGUUUAAUUGUUCUAUUUUUCUAAAUAUUUUAAUUUCUUUCGGGAAACAAUGUAAACUAUAUAAAAUACUUAGUGUAGUGGCGUGCCAAUAGUAAGCACUUCAUAGAUUAUUGGUUAUUUUCGCACAGACAGAUUGAUACAUGUAAUUGCUUCCAGAAUUUGAGAAGAAAAUUAAAGAUUUUUGACUACAACACUACAAAGUCAUUGUCUUACACAACACCUUCUCUAGCAUCUGUUCAAUAUAUUUAAGUGAUGUCAUGUCUAUCUUGCCACCAGGUGGCAGUAUGAUAUGUAAGGAAAUCAAUGCUAGUCUGCUGUUUUGACUUAAAAGCUGUAAAGCCAUAAUAAAAAGUGUGCUGCAUCAUCCCUUCCCCACAUCCCUCCAGCGCACUCAGAGUGUCAUGUGUGUGUCAUGUAUGUUGUGUGUUAGGACCCAGUACUGCCCAGCACUCAUCUUCCAUGAGUUAAUGCAGAAAACCCUUUUCUCCUGGCCUACAAUAUAAGCUCUUGUGCUUAGAUUCUCCCAGCCAACUGGUGUUAGUUCAGCAGCAGUGGAAAGUGCGCCCUCUCUUAUGGUGUCUACUCAUCACUUACUCGGUGCCCUUGUCAGUAAUGCACGCAACAGCAUCAGGAUAGUUAGUACCUGAGCGUUGUUCUUGAAUAAUACCCCAUUUGUAGUGGGUCUGGUGGUGGUGCUUGGUUAGUUGGUUUGUUUUGUCUGUUUGUAGACAGGGUCUCAUGUAGUCCAGGGUGGCCUCAAACCCACUGUGAGGCCAAAGCUGGCCUUCAAUUCCUGAUCCCCCUGCCUCCACCACCCAUGUGCUGGGAUUAUAGACAUAUCUGCUUUAUAAGUGCUGAGGAUCAAACCCAGGACCAUGUAUAUGCUAGGUAGGCAUGCCCUCUCCUACUCGUGCUAUACCACAGCCCUGCAUCUGUAACGUUGUUAGAUAGAGGUGACUUGGGCUGGCUGGACGGGUGCUUGCACUUUUGCCAUGGACCAGUUCCAUUCAGAUAACUGCUACCAAGGGCUGGAAAUCAGUGCCUGAAGUAGAAGGCAAGAAAAGUCAUGACAAAUAAAGAAAAUGAAUGUAAAGGACCGACGGUAGCAACUACUCAAAAGAUGGUGAAGGAGAAAGACUGGUGAUGCAGGAUUACAGAGCUAAGACAGAGCAGUGCACAGGAGCAGAACAUACCACUUGCUGGCCAUAGGGAGUUACCUGUGCUUCACAAACACGUGUCUGCCAGGACAUUAUUUUACAAAACUUAGGAUGAACUACUUUGACAUCAGUUUCUUAGAAAAUUUUUGCCCUGGGGUAAAAAAAAAAAAAAAAAAUGCCUUGUUGCUUGCUCCCUUCCUCUUAGUAAAGCC